CCUGCACGCCUCUGACUACCCGCGACCUCUGCUGCGGUGGCUGUUCCAGUUGUUAACAUGGCCUCCAGAAACCUCUUCAAGAGCUUUUGAUCUCCUCUGGGAUCUCAGCAUAGAUGGACUAUUCCGUCAGCCUGAUGCAGACAUGCGCUUUUGGUGUCCCUCACUGCAGGAGGUCAAGGAGGUGUUCCACAGCCUGGGAGCCUACAACCCUGCCCUC
Molecule: long non-coding RNA, 217 nt
Organism: Peromyscus leucopus (white-footed mouse)
Lineage: Eukaryota; Metazoa; Chordata; Mammalia; Rodentia; Cricetidae
Exons: 3
Source: RefSeq, a predicted model, not a curated record